RNAcentral lists this non-coding RNA (23 nucleotides) under Cricetulus griseus (Chinese hamster). Lineage: Eukaryota; Metazoa; Chordata; Mammalia; Rodentia; Cricetidae. The record is from RNAcentral.
GACAUUCCUGGACUGACAGAUAC